RNAcentral lists this ribosomal RNA (253 nucleotides) under uncultured bacterium. Its description in RNAcentral is "partial 16S ribosomal RNA". It matches the Rfam family "Bacterial small subunit ribosomal RNA", at positions 524 to 776 of the family's 1533-position model. The record is from RNAcentral.
UACGUAGGGUGCAAGCGUUAAUCGGAAUUACUGGGCGUAAAGCGUGCGCAGGCGGUUUUGUAAGUCAGAUGUGAAAUCCCCGGGCUUAACCUGGGAACUGCAUUGGUGACUGCAUCGCUCGAGUAUGGCAGAGGGGGGUAGAAUUCCACGUGUAGCAGUGAAAUGCGUAGAGAUGUGGAGGAAUACCGAUGGCGAAGGCAGCCCCCUGGGUCAAUACUGACGCUCAUGCACGAAAGCGUGGGGAGCAAACAGG